AAUAAAAGUUAUAAACAGUCCAUGAAUUCAAAAUAACUAUUUUAAUUAAUUAAAAACCAAAGAAAAAGAGGAGUUAAAGGACGGCCACAGGAAAGUUUUCGUUAUUUUUCUCGUUCUUUAAUUUACUGAACUGGAUUGAAUCCACCUAUUGCAGUUGAUCAGUUUUACUUUCAAAUUAAGUUGAUCCACUUCGAAACUGGACGUUUGCUGGUCUAUGUGCAAGUACACAGUAAAUAAAAACUCAAAUUUUUUUUUUUAUUAAACAACACCACAAUCUAAAUGCAAUAGCUAAAAUUUUCAUGAAUGAGUUGAAGAUUUUCUUAUGCCAGUUUCUUUCGUCAUCAGAAAUCGUUGUGUUAAGUUCAAAGGCAUCCUCCGAAAACCUCGACUAUCAACUGUAUAGAAAUUCUAUACAGAAACAAGACGGAGAAAAUCCUGUCGCUUCCCAUCUACAAAAUCAUAUGAUAUGCACAGAUCAGAUGGGGCUCCUACCAAUCCUCUGUUUCAAUCUAUUCAAUGGUGUCCCUGAACUGGAGCACCGAUUCACUGGCCCUCCCAUAAAGCUUUCAGGAACUCUACAAUUGGAAUUUCAAUCUUCUUCUUAAAACACAACGCUGUCAAGUUGAUGUAAUUUACCUUGAUAUGAAACAGAGUCCUUGAUAGCCGAAUAGUAGUAUCCUUCUGAUUCCUCCUGCCAGGCUGCCACCAACUAUACCCGCUCAAUUUUCAAGUUGGGUCUAUAAUUGGCUCCAUCAAAUUCAAAACCAAAACUCAUCAAUAAUUUACACCAACCAUCUUGAGAGAAACUUACCUCCUUAAACUGAACCGCAUUCAAACCAAUCGGUGAUUCAAUUUAACUAGCUUUAGCAUCUAAAAUCUCUCUGUCAAACAUCUGCGUAUAGAUAUUGCAAAUUUGCUCACCUGGUUAGGGUGGAAGAGGAUGGCACAUACUCCCAAACAAAGUGCAAAAGUAGCAAUUAAAAAUACUGUGGGGCGCGACUUCAGGACUCUGUUAGAAAAACAGAGACUAGAUGACUUGUUUGGACAUUCUUUGCUGAGCCUCACAUCCAUAACAACCUCUUUACUCAAAAGUGGAACCUUGUCACUUCUAACAACAGCAUAUAAGUUUGAAAUCACUCCCAACUUACCAUUUGAACUUCUUUCAAGAUCCUGCAAAAGAAAAUAACAUUAUGAACCCUCCUGGAAAUGAGGAAUAAGUACCAGCUGUUAAAACAAUAUGGAGAGGAAACACAAAUUUUCAGAUACUAAGAACGCAGACCACUAAAAAUCUCCUAAACAGAACACGCAUGGUAAAAAAAAGACAACACAAAGAUUCUAGAAAGCAGCAGCAGCAGUGUUGCUAAUUUAGCGAGAAGAAAAGGGGAGAAAAAGAGAGAAUGAAAAAGAAAACCUAUAUAAAAAGAAGCCAGACCAUGGAAAACAACUUCUUGAUUUCAGAAAACCGAACCGUAUUCCAAAUAACAAGAAAAUUCAUGAUGCUCAAAGAAAUCAACAGAGUCACACUGAUAAAUGAUCCAGGGGUUGAACUUUAAAAGAAAAUGUCUAGUUGGCUGAAAGCUUAAAGAAUAACCAGAGUUCCUUAUGAGUCUUGCUGUGUCAGAUAAUGUUUCCACAUCAUUUCACAAAGAUAACAGUAUCAACCACCUAAAUCUUCUCAUUUAUCCCCUGGAUGUAAAAAUAAAAAUAAACAAAUAACUCACCUCACUGGUGAAAAUGGCAGCAACUGAUGGCAUGCUACUUUCAUAACAUCUUCUAACAUCACUUUCGUCCACAGUAUAUUCCCAGUGGAUAGCUAAACCAUCACUCUUCUUAACCUUUUGAAGAAGAAUAUCACUGGCACUAUCCAUAUAUUUCUGUAAUAAAAACAUUUCAGAAUCACUAAUGCCAUAAGCUACCCUGUUUUUCUCCAUUUCAUCCAAUAUGAUUUUCAGAUUUUGUAAAAUUUUAUCCAAUGUGGCAGUUGAUUCAUGGUGUACCAAAAAAUUCAACAAAGAAUUGAGUCUUUGAAUCUGUGAAGACCUCGUGAUUUGGUGAAAGCUUUCUGACGAAGGCUUCUUUAAUAACCAUCCUAUAUCCACAACUAAUUCUGAAAAAGCCAUUUGUCUAUGUGCAGAAAACUCACACUGUGAACCACUUGACAGAUGAGAUGAAGCAAACCUCUGCUGAAUUAUUUUCAUUUCAGAACAAAUUUCUCCAUUCCCAACAAGUACAGGAAUGAAGUUUGAUAAUCCCCUCUCAUUUUCAACCUCAAUAAAUGCAGGACCAAAGAGAUUCGGUUCAACAUGAGGAAUAAAUAUCUUGCACAACUGAUGGUCAAGGCUGGAACAUCCUUCAGUGCGAUCAUGUGGUAAUACUAUGCAGUAAUCAUAUGCAAGGUAUUUCCCAGCAAAUGAUACCAGAAGCCUGAAUUUGGGUUGCAACAGAUUACUUCCACAAGCAACAAACUCUAUGGGCUUCCCAGCCUCAAAGCAUGUUGGAUGAACAUAGUGCAGUCUUGGGGCACGCCCUUCCAUGUUUACUUUUGUUACUGAAUGUCCAUCCUUCAUAACAUGGAAGAUCAUGUUGUUCAGAUAAACUAGCAUUGGGCUCCUCUUGGACAGCAUUUUUCCAGGAACGAUAACAAAAUCAUGCAAGUAUGACACAGGGUCUUCCAAUAACUUUGCCCACAUAAAUGUUGGCAUUGCAAGAAAUGCAGUCAAGAUGGUACAACCAGGGCGAAUAUAUCCCUCCAACUCAACUGGCAUACUGGCCAACCAUUCAAAUAUUUGGUGUCUAAGCCUUCUAGGGAAUUCUGCUGGAUUCCAAUCGUAAAGCUUGAAUGAGAUCCGACCUGUUGGGCACGCAGAUGAGUAAAAACUCUUAUUCUCACAAUUGAAAGGAGAAAGCGCAAAUCUGGAAUCGUCUUUUCCGCUAUCCUUUGGGGUUCCGACAGAUACACCACUAUCGCUAUUGACAUUUUGGGAAUUGGGAGCCGAGUGAAGGCCGGAAACUUUUCCAUCUUCAGAUUCAACCAAUGCUUCUUUCUCAACUAUCUGACAGUCUUUUUCAGCUUCACCAUCACAAGCAGCAUCUUCACUAAGCAACUCCCCUUGAGGUUCCUUGUCUACCGCUCCCUUGGAAUCAUGGGGCUUUCUUCGUCGUCUAUUGUUGUGACGCUCUAAUUUUCUUCUACAACUCCGUUUGCCUUCGUCAAAAUCUGACAGCAAGUGAAACUUCCCACACUGCUGACAGUAUCUCUUGUUCUCCCCAUCAAGUACAACAGCACUAGCAUUAGCGCAGCGUAAACAAACCCUGUGCCUCUUAUGAUACCCCUUAAGCUCGCUAAUAUCAGCCUCGCAGCCAGGCACCUGACACCGAGUAACACCAGUACUGGACCUAGUCGUUCGGACCCGCUUCUUCCCAGGCAUACCCUCUUCCUCUAACUUCUCGUCGAGCUCCGGGCACUCGCAGGGGACCCUGCCUGCCAGAAAAUUGGAGCAGGUCAACCUCGGGUCCCGCUUCCUAACCUUAUCUGGAUCUGGAGUUGCCUCAAUAGGAUCGACUUGCGAAACGAUAGUACUUGUGGUGUCGACAGAAUCGAAAGUUAUUGGGAAUUGAUCGUCUACGGUGAAGUCCAGUAGAUCUCCCCAGUCCCAGAUUGAAGACGAAGGAUCUUCAGCCACCGGUAGGUGAAUAUCCAUAUCGUCAAGCUUAGACCGACGAGAGUCAGGAGAAGGUGAAGAGGAUGGUUCCGUCAUGGAUGUGAAAGCCCUAGAUUUUUUAGGAUUGAAAACGUAGCUUUUACGAUACGAAACAGAGAAAGAUUCGUCCAGUGGUUGAACGGGUGGGUAAAGUUCGGUUGGUUUUUGGGCCAGUGGUCAGCCGGUGGUGGGUGGAGACGCGAAGUCGUCGUCGAAUGAUUAAUAAAAAAUGAGGUUAUCGUAGUGACACAAUACUCGAAUGUUGCUCAAAAAAAUGGGGAGCGGCAUGGAAAAAUGGGAGGUUGGCGGAGGUGGCGCGUAGGUGUGGCGAGUGAAGGAGGCGGAUGAAGCAUCAUUGUCAAGAAGAAAUGAUGGGUUCUUUCCCUACCUCCAACAAUAGCGGACAACAUAUUCACAGCUGGAAUCGCGCACGGUCUUUCGCCCACUUCAAAAGCUUUAUUAUAACGAGAAGCAGUAGAACCCAUUUUCCACUCCCAUGUUUUUCUUGUAAUAAUUUAUCAGAUUUUACCCGUAUUAU
RNAcentral lists this unclassified non-coding RNA (4239 nucleotides) under Hevea brasiliensis (rubber tree). The record is from RNAcentral. Lineage: Eukaryota; Viridiplantae; Streptophyta; Magnoliopsida; Malpighiales; Euphorbiaceae.